This 337-nucleotide ribosomal RNA is filed under the name uncultured Pseudomonadota bacterium. RNAcentral describes it as "bacterial SSU rRNA". It matches the Rfam family "Bacterial small subunit ribosomal RNA", at positions 29 to 351 of the family's 1533-position model. Lineage: Bacteria; Pseudomonadati; Pseudomonadota. The record is from RNAcentral.
AACGAACGCUGGCGGCGUGCUUAACACAUGCAAGUCGAACGCGAAAGGGACUUCGGUCCUGAGUAAAGUGGCGCACGGGUGAGUAACGCGUGGAUAAUCUACCCGAUGGACCGGGAUAACAUUUCGAAAGGGGUGCUAAUACCGGAUAAGACCACGAGCACUUAGGUGUUUGCGGUAAAAGGUGGGGACCUUCGGGCCUGCCGUUAUCGGAUGAGUCCGCGUACCAUUAGCUAGUUGGUGGGGUAAGAGCCUACCAAGGCGACGAUGGUUAGCUGGUCUGAGAGGAUGAUCAGCCACACUGGAACUGAGACACGGUCCAGACUCCUACGGGUGGCUG